AACGAACGCUGGCGGUAUGCCUAACCCAUGCAAGUCGAACGGACUGAUGAGAGCUUGCUCUUGUCAGUUAGUGGCAAACGGGUGAGUAACGCGUGGGAAUCUACCCAUCAGUACGGAAUAACUUUUGGACACAGAAGCUAAUACCGUAUAUUCUCUACGGAGGAAAGAUUUAUCGCCGAUGGAUGAGCCCGCGUCUGAUUAGGUAGGUGGUGGGGUACUGGCCUACCAAGCCGACGAUAACUAACUGGUCUGAGAGGAUGAUCAGCCACACUGGAACUUGGACCCGGUCCAGGCUCCUACGGGGGGCAGCAGGGGGGAAUAUUGGACAAUGGGCGAUAGCCUGAUCCAGCAAUACCGCGUGAAUGAUGAAGGCCUUAGGGUUGUAAAGUUCUUUUAGCAGGGAAGAUAAUAACGGUACCUGCAGAAAAAGCCCCGGCUAACUUCGUGCCAGCCGCCGCCGUAA
This 463-nucleotide ribosomal RNA is filed under the name uncultured bacterium. Its description in RNAcentral is "partial 16S ribosomal RNA". It matches the Rfam family "Bacterial small subunit ribosomal RNA", at positions 29 to 523 of the family's 1533-position model. The record is from RNAcentral.